GACAGAGGGGGCAAGCGUUGCUCGGAAUUACUGGGCGUAAAGGGCGCGUAGGCGGGAUGGCAAGUCGGUCGUGAAAUGCCUCGGCUCAACUGAGGAUCGUCGAUCGAUACUGCCGUUCUUGAGGAUCGCAGAGGAGACUGGAAUUCCCGGUGUAGCGGUGAAAUGUGUAGAGAUCGGGAGGAACACCGGUGGCGAAGGCGGGUCUCUGGGCAAUUCCUGACGCUGAGGCGCGAAAGCGUGGGGAGCAAACGGG
RNAcentral lists this ribosomal RNA (253 nucleotides) under uncultured bacterium. Its description in RNAcentral is "partial 16S ribosomal RNA". It matches the Rfam family "Bacterial small subunit ribosomal RNA", at positions 524 to 776 of the family's 1533-position model. The record is from RNAcentral.